This 286-nucleotide unclassified non-coding RNA is filed under the name Hevea brasiliensis (rubber tree). Lineage: Eukaryota; Viridiplantae; Streptophyta; Magnoliopsida; Malpighiales; Euphorbiaceae. The record is from RNAcentral.
GCAAGUAGUAAUAUUUCAAGGUAGGUAAUCCAAUACAAAGCUAAUAUUUGAAGGAACUGUGUUUGCAGUUAAAGACAACUACAAAUAAAUGUUCAUGUUCAUGGAUGGGUUCGGGUAGAUGGUAGUUGAGGUUACAACCACAACUGGAAAGAAACUACUACAAAUAUCAAUUCAAGUAAAAUUACACAGCAUGAUCACAUCAGUCACGGUAUGGAUCGUCUUCCUCCUCAUCCUCAUACUCUUCCUCAUCUGCCACUGCAUCUUGAUACUGCUGAUAUUCAGAGAC